RNAcentral lists this unclassified non-coding RNA (487 nucleotides) under Hevea brasiliensis (rubber tree). The record is from RNAcentral. Lineage: Eukaryota; Viridiplantae; Streptophyta; Magnoliopsida; Malpighiales; Euphorbiaceae.
AAAGCCCUCCUGUUCCUUUGAUCUGAAAAAUCCAAACUACUAUUAAUUAAAGGUAUACCAGUUAGGCUAACAAUUCAUUUUCAUUAGAAUCUACGGCCACCUAUUAUACUCCUAUGACAGAACACGCCAACUCUCAAAGUUAUCUAGCUCGAGUACUUCACCAGUAACAGGUGCAACAUGCUCACCAAGAUAAUGCCAAUUGGCGACCUUUAAUAAUUGGCUAUAUCUAAUUUAGUAUAGCCUCUCUAACAGUUGUCAAUUCUAACCAAGGAACCAUUUGGAAACAAAAAUUAUACCCAUUUUACAUUCUAAUCUAAUGAUAAAAAUCUGUCUAAUCUAGUAAACUUGUGCGGCGGAAUUUAAAUUGUCUUUUUCACCUUCAUAAACCAACAGUAAUGACAGAACUAAAAUCAGAUUUGAGCAUUGAUCACAUGAACCAACAUGUCAAUACAUCAACAGAUCAGUGACCCAAACAUCUGUGAAAUGA